Molecule: long non-coding RNA, 543 nt
Organism: Gekko japonicus
Lineage: Eukaryota; Metazoa; Chordata; Lepidosauria; Squamata; Gekkonidae
Exons: 3
Source: RefSeq, a predicted model, not a curated record
CCUUCAAAUGGCUCAGUCUACCCAGGCAAAACAAAAGUCCCCUCAAGCUGUAUUGGAACUUGGAGUGAUCAAUCAAGAUUCAAAGAACAUGGAGAAAGUGUUUGUGGAAUUCAAUCAUCAAGAAUUGUUUGAGUUCUAUAACAAGCUGGAAACUAUACAAGCACAGCUGGAUUCCCUUACAUGAUACUGUUAGAAGAUUAACUUCUCCAUCACAUUCCUGCCAUUUCAAUAUUUUCUAUUAAAGAUAGGUCAACUGUGUGCUGGAAGUACUCAAGUGAUUGCUUUUGGUAAAUGGCUUAUCUUUUCUUUGACCAGUAAUGUCAGCUAAAUGAAAUUUUAAGAGAACUGAUGUUCUAAUUCAUUGCUUCGCAUUUCAGCUCACAGUGUUCAAAAACAGUUUUACUAUGUGUGUAUAUGUCUGGAGCCAUGGUGGGGAAAGCGCACACUGUAAUGUUUUCCAGUUGUUUUGACAUGCACUUAUGAUGCUUUAUUUUGUGGGGCACCAUAUGGAAGAUGCCAGUUUAUAGAACGUUGAGGAAUGAA